GACGAACGCUGGCGGCGUGCUUAACACAUGCAAGUCGAACGGAAAGGCCUGCUUUCCCUUGUGGAUUGCGGGUACUCGAGUGGCGAACGGGUGAGUAACACGUGAGUGAUCUGCCCCCAACUUGGGUAUAAGCCUGGGAAACUGGGUCUAAUUCCCGAUAGGACUGCAGGGUGGUGCCCGUGGUGGAAAACGAUUUUCUAGUGGUUGGGGAUGAGCUCGCGGCCUAUCAGCUUGUUGGUGGGGUAAUGGCCUACCAAGGCGGCGACGGGUAGCCGGCCUGAGAGGGUGGACGGCCACAUUGGGACUGAGAUACGGCCCAGACUCCUACGGGAGGCAGCAGUGGGGAAUAUUGCACAAUGGGCGGAAGCCUGAUGCAGCGACGCCGCGUGGGGGAUGACGGCCUUCGGGUUGUAAACUCCUUUCGACCGCGAGGAAGCCACCUGGUUGGAAGGGUGGUGACGGUAGUGGUAGAAGAAGCACCGGCUAACUACGUG
Molecule: ribosomal RNA, 494 nt
Filed under: uncultured bacterium
Lineage: Bacteria
Description: partial 16S ribosomal RNA
Rfam family: Bacterial small subunit ribosomal RNA
Source: RNAcentral